GGACGGGUGGCAGAGUGGUCGAUCGCGGCGGUCUUGAAAACCGCUGAACCGCAAGGUUCCGUGGGUUCGAAUCCCACCCCGUCCG
Molecule: transfer RNA, 85 nt
Filed under: Verrucomicrobiales bacterium
Lineage: Bacteria; Pseudomonadati; Verrucomicrobiota; Verrucomicrobiia; Verrucomicrobiales
Description: tRNA-Ser
Rfam family: tRNA
About the family: Transfer RNA (tRNA) molecules are approximately 80 nucleotides in length. Their secondary structure includes four short double-helical elements and three loops (D, anti-codon, and T loops).
Source: RNAcentral